Molecule: long non-coding RNA, 660 nt
Organism: Carassius gibelio (silver crucian carp)
Lineage: Eukaryota; Metazoa; Chordata; Actinopteri; Cypriniformes; Cyprinidae
Exons: 2
Source: RefSeq, a predicted model, not a curated record
UUUUGUUUCCAAUGUGUUCUCGGAUUCCCGGCGAGAGUGAGAGUAAGGGAACGCCUUAUUUCUUCAUGUGAUCCUGAGUUCCACACAGCCGUUACACAUUCCAGCUCAAUAUAGCGAAACAAUGGAAGCCCCUCGCUCCUGAUGGAAACGAUGUCUGGAAAACCCUGAGACAGGGUGCCAGUGGGCAGACCUUAAACGAGGUGCAGGGUCAAACAAUUGACGCAAUGAAACACUGAGGAAUGAUCUGGGCUGCUAAGAGCUGACCAACCACAGCCGACGGAAACUUUCCCGCUAACAGAAUGUGACGAUGGGGAUGAACAGAAAACACUGGACUGGGACCAGAUCCAUUAGUCAUGUGCCCAACAGCAAUGUGUGCGAGACCUCCAAACAGCCUCAACAUUAACCUCUGCAGGAGCUCUUUCGCUACACAACAAAAGCCAGCUGUCUACCUCUCUGACCUCCAGUUUACAGCCAGUUCAGAUAGACCAGGAAAAAAACUAAGAUGUGAUCUUCCUCUGGAGCAGUAUCUGCAUACGGCUGUAGAGGAUAAUGAGGAAAGAAUAGCAAGUUUUGAAUACAGAUAUAUAUCUGGCUGCAAAACAGCAUACUGUAGAUGAAGAAAAAAUUUAAAAAUAAACCCUUGAACAUUAAAUAUUAAAA